Molecule: long non-coding RNA, 1434 nt
Filed under: Piliocolobus tephrosceles (Ugandan red Colobus)
Lineage: Eukaryota; Metazoa; Chordata; Mammalia; Primates; Cercopithecidae
Description: lncRNA (ENSPTEG00000003952.1)
Source: RNAcentral
UUUUUUACGAUUAUAGAUGGAGUGAAAGAGACAUAUUUUAGUACUAUUACAUUUUCAUUGGUUUUUUUAUUAUCGCAGAUAUAUUUAUUCUUAUUUAUGUCGUUUAUGUAGAAAUUACAUCAGUUUAUUUUAAAAAUCUGAGGGUACAAAUAGAAGGCUACAAAUAUAAUAAUAAAAAAAAAAAAACAGUGAUGAUAAUAUUAAUUUAUCUAUUGUAGAACAUGGGGAUGGGGUUAUAAAAAAUUGUACUGAGAAUAGUACAAUGGCUAAUAUAGUUAUAAGUGAUACAUUAGAAAGUGCAAUUAAAACUGAUAAAAGUGAUAUACAAAAUAAAGAAAAUAGAAAUGAUAGUAUAUAUUGGAAUAACUAUAAAAUAGAGAAAAAAUCUAUUUUCCAUAUUUUAAAAAAACAAAAUUAUUCAAAUAAAAAAUAGAUUUAAUUUUAAUAAUAUAAUUUUAGGCGCGAAAUUAAUUAAAUACUAUUACGCUUGUUUGGUUCCUAUAUGUCUUACAAUGUUUGCAUCUUAUUUGAUUUUCCCACAUUUACUACCUGAUAUGUUGGACAACACAGAAUACGAAAAAUAUUUCUGUAAAUUUUUGUUCCAACUUAGUAAUGUUACUUUUAGUUUUAUCAUGGCCUUUAUAAUGGGAAAAUUAAAUUUUAUAAAACAGAAAUAUGUUAUGAUUGUUUCUGUAAUAAGAUUAUUAUUUAUAUGGAUAUGUUAUAUAGUAGUAAAAAACAAGCCAACUAAUUUUAUUUAUUCAAAUAUAAUUACAUCAAUUAUUAUAAUAUUAAUAGGGGCUUCAAAUUCAAUUAUACGUAACAUGAGUUUUGCACGUAUCGGAACAUGUUUCGAAGACAAUGUUAAAAAAGAUCAUUAUGUUUCUGUAUCUUCUUCCUUUUGUUCUUUAUCAUACCUAGUCAGUUAUGCUUUAGCACCAUGGUUUGCUCGUAUAAUUAAAGCUAUAUAAAGGAACAUGUAUGUAAGAAACAUAAAAAGUUGUAUACAUAGAUACGAUAUAUAUGUGUUAUGUCUAUGUACUUAUUUAUAUAUUUACUUGUUCUUUAUGAAUUUUAAUUAAACAAUUGCAUGUACAUAAUGAACGUAUCUUCCCCUAUAUAUAUAUAUAUAUAUAUUUAUUUAUUAAGCUUUUUUUUUUUUUUUUUUUUUUUUAAUAUCAAUGUUAUAUAUCAUAGACCAUUUAUCAAAUAUGCCCAUACACUUUUUUUUUUUUUUAAUAAGUGUCAAAAUUGGCAUGUAUAUAUAUAUGUGCAUUUUACUUUGUUAAUUCUUGUGUAAUACUUUAUUACAUACUCUUUCCUAACACGAGUAUAACCGCUUAAAUAAGUGAACGUACACUUUUAUAUGCAUAUAUUCAUUAUAGACAUGACAAUUAUUUUUAAUUAUCUCCUUUUAGUAUUCAUUUUAUUUUU